RNAcentral lists this ribosomal RNA (804 nucleotides) under Codinaea pandanicola. Its description in RNAcentral is "Dictyochaeta pandanicola partial 28S large subunit ribosomal RNA". It matches the Rfam family "Eukaryotic large subunit ribosomal RNA", at positions 77 to 914 of the family's 3401-position model. Lineage: Eukaryota; Fungi; Ascomycota; Sordariomycetes; Chaetosphaeriales; Chaetosphaeriaceae. The record is from RNAcentral.
GCCUCAGUAACGGCGAGUGAAGCGGCAACAGCUCAAAUUUGAAAUCUGGCCCCCCGGCCCGAGUUGUAAUUUGCAGAGGAUGCUUCUGGCGCGGUGCCUUCCAAGUCCCCUGGAACGGGGCGCCAUAGAGGGUGAGAGCCCCGUCCGGUUGGCCGCCAAGCCUGUGUGAAGCUCCUUCGACGAGUCGAGUAGUUUGGGAAUGCUGCUCUAAAUGGGAGGUAGACCCCUUCUAAAGCUAAAUACCGGCCAGAGACCGAUAGCGCACAAGUAGAGUGAUCGAAAGAUGAAAAGCACUUUGAAAAGAGGGUUAAACAGUACGUGAAAUUGUUGAAAGGGAAGCGCUUGUGACCAGACGUGCGCCGGGUGUUCAGCGGGCGUUUUCGCCCGUGCAUUCGCCCCGGCGCAGGCCAGCGUCGGUUCGGGCGGGGGGAUAAAGGUGCCAGGAACGUAUCUCCCCCGGGAGUGUUAUAGCCUGGUGCGUCAUGCCCCCGCCUGGACCGAGGUUCGCGCUCCGCAAGGACGCUGGCGUAAUGGUCCCCAGCGGCCCGUCUUGAAACACGGACCAAGGAGUCGAGGUUUUACGCGAGUGUCUGGGUGUCAAACCCGCACGCGUAAUGAAAGUGAACGUAGGUGGGAGCUUCGGCGCACCACCGACCGAUCCUGAUGUUUUCGGAUGGAUUUGAGUAGGAGCGUAGGGCCUCGGACCCGAAAGAUGGUGAACUAUACUUGGAUAGGGUGAAGCCAGAGGAAACUCUGGUGGAGGCUCGCAGCGGUUCUGACGUGCAAAUCGAUCGUCAAAUCUGA